UUCCUUGAUUAAUGAAGGAACUUUCCCUUCACACGGCUGGCCGCAUUGCUUAGUUCCAUGGCAUAUUUUUGUUUCUGAGAGGGAGCCACUAUAAAGUAAAACAAUUCUGACAGUUCUAAGGUUAAGUGUUGUCACACUGCUGUCAGUGCAGAAGAUUUCUAAGGCAAAACGCAUUAGUAUUAGCUGUAUAGUUGUAGAAAACGUAUUCUACAAACAUUUGGCACGUGUUUUUACUGUGAGGAACCAAAAGCGCAUGUUGCCAUGUGAGUGACCAAGAGCCUAUGCCAAGAGCGAACUGCGAAACACAAAACGAACGUAAAAAGCGUCAUACAAACUUGAACAUUUUGCCGAAUGCAGCAACUAAUAGAUGGCGCUACAAUAAAGUAAGCUGUCAAAAAACACUUUUUUUGUUCAAUGCGACCAGCCGUGUAAAGGGUACUUCCCUUCACUAAUCAAGGAAGCUGUGUCAGUGAGGGUUCGAUUUGGCUAUAUCAGUUCAGGAUGCCUGGGCGGCACCAGGGCCUAGGGAAUUUCACUUUCAUGCUGGACAAUUUGCCAAGUUUUUGGCGCGAUUUUUGAAACGUAAUCGUCACAAAAUCAAACAAGU
Tribolium castaneum (red flour beetle) is the source of this 607-nucleotide long non-coding RNA. RefSeq lists it as uncharacterized. Lineage: Eukaryota; Metazoa; Arthropoda; Insecta; Coleoptera; Tenebrionidae. The transcript is spliced from 2 exons. The record is from RefSeq and is a predicted model, not a curated record.